Molecule: ribosomal RNA, 252 nt
Filed under: uncultured bacterium
Lineage: Bacteria
Description: partial 16S ribosomal RNA
Rfam family: Bacterial small subunit ribosomal RNA
Source: RNAcentral
GAUCAUGGCUCAGAUUGAACGCUGGCGGCAGGCCUAACACAUGCAAGUCGAACGGUAACAGGAAACAGCUUGCUGUUUCGCUGACGAGUGGCGGACGGGUGAGUAAUGUCUGGGAAACUGCCUGAUGGAGGGGGAUAACUACUGGAAACGGUAGCUAAUACCGCAUAACGUCGCAAGACCAAAGAGGGGGGACCCUUCGGGCCGUCUUGCCAUCGGAUGUGGCCCACGAUGGGAUUAGCUAGUAGGUGGGGG